Molecule: ribosomal RNA, 301 nt
Filed under: uncultured bacterium
Lineage: Bacteria
Description: partial 16S ribosomal RNA
Rfam family: Bacterial small subunit ribosomal RNA
Source: RNAcentral
CAGCAGCCGCGGUAAUACAGAGGGUGCGAGCGUUAAUCGGAUUUACUGGGCGUAAAGCGUGCGUAGGCGGCUUCUUAAGUCGGAUGUGAAAUCCCUGAGCUUAACUUAGGAAUUGCAUUCGAUACUGGGAAGCUAGAGUAUGGGAGAGGAUGGUAGAAUUCCAGGUGUAGCGGUGAAAUGCGUAGAGAUCUGGAGUAAUACCGACGGCGAAGGCAGCCAUCUGGCCUAAUACUGACGCUGAGGUACGAAAGCAUGGGGAGCAAACAGGAUUAGAUACCCCUGUAGUCCCUGUCUCUAUACA